AGCUCCAAUAGCGUAUAUUAAAGUUGUUGCAGUUAAAAAGCUCGUAGUUGAAUUUCUGAUAGAAGGGAGCGGUUCCGCAUUCUUGCGGAUACUGGCUCGUCUUCCGUCAUCCUUGGGCUUAGUCUCGCUGAUAUUAACUUAUCGGCGUGUUCCAUGCCCAUCGUUUACUGUGAGCAAAUUAGAGUGUUCAAAGCAGGCAUUUUGCCAUUGAAUAUAUUAGCAUGGAAUAAUAAGAUAGGAUUUCACGAUUUUAUUUUGUUGGUUUGCGUUGUGAAAUAAUGAUUAAGAGGGACAGUUGUGGGUAUUCGUAUUCAGAUGUCAGAGGUGAAAUUCUUAGAUUAUCGGAAGACGAACGACUGCGAAAGCAUUUACCAAGGAUGUUUUCA
Molecule: ribosomal RNA, 386 nt
Filed under: uncultured marine Chaetocerotaceae
Lineage: Eukaryota; Bacillariophyta; Thalassiosirophyceae; Chaetocerotales; Chaetocerotaceae
Description: SSU rRNA
Rfam family: Eukaryotic small subunit ribosomal RNA
Source: RNAcentral